UACGUAUGGUGCAAGCGUUAUCCGGAUUUACUGGGUGUAAAGGGAGCGCAGGCGGCACGGCAAGCCUGAUGUGAAAGCCCGCGGCCCAACCGCGGGACUGCAUUGGGAACUACCGGGCUGGAGUGCCGGAGAGGUAGGCGGAAUUCCUAGUGUAGCGGUGAAAUGCGUAGAUAUUAGGAGGAACACCGGUGGCGAAAGCGGCUCUCUGGCCUGUAACUGACACUGAGGCUCGAAAGCGUGGGGAGCAAACAGG
Molecule: ribosomal RNA, 253 nt
Filed under: uncultured bacterium
Lineage: Bacteria
Description: partial 16S ribosomal RNA
Rfam family: Bacterial small subunit ribosomal RNA
Source: RNAcentral